Molecule: ribosomal RNA, 404 nt
Filed under: uncultured microorganism
Description: bacterial SSU rRNA
Rfam family: Archaeal small subunit ribosomal RNA
Source: RNAcentral
GUGCACCAGGCGCGAAACCUCCGCAAUGCGCGAAAGCGCGACGGGGUUACCCCGAGUGCCGUCCGCUGAGGACGGCUUUUGCCCAGUGUAGCCAAGCUGGGCGAAUAAGGAGAGGGCAAGUCUGGUGUCAGCCGCCGCGGUAAUACCAGCUCUCCGAGUGGUGGGGACGCUUAUUGGGCCUAAAGCAUCCGUAGCCGGUCUGGCAAGUCCCUUGUUAAAUCCAACGAUUCAAUCGUUGGACUGCAAGGGAUACUGCCAGACUAGGGGGCGGGAGAGGCCGACGGUAUUCCCGGGGUAGGGGUGAAAUCCUAUAAUCCCGGGAGGACCACCAGUGGCGAAGGCUGUCGGCUAGAACGCGCCCGACGGUGAGGGAUGAAAGCUGGGGGAGCGAACCGGAUUAGAUA